GACGAACGCUGGCGGCGUGCUUAACACAUGCCAGUCGAACGGUAAGGCCCCAGCUUGCUGGGGUACACGAGUGGCGAACGGGUGAGUAACACGUGGGUGACCUGCCCCGCACUUCGGGAUAAGCCUGGGAAACUGGGUCUAAUACCGGAUAGGACCGCACCGUGAGGGUGUGGUGGAAAGUUUUUCGGUGUGGGAUGGGCCCGCGGCCUAUCAGCUUGUUGGUGGGGUAAUGGCCUACCAAGGCGGCGACGGGUAGCCGGCCUGAGAGGGUGGACGGCCACAUUGGGACUGAGACACGGCCCAGACUCCUACGGGAGGCAGCAGUGGGGAAUAUUGCACAAUGGGCGGAAGCCAGAUGCAGCGACGCCGCGUGGGGGAUGACGGCCUUCGGGUUGUAAACUCCUUUCACCAUCGACGAAGGUUUUCUGACGGUAGAUGAAGAAGAAGCACCGGCUAACUACGUG
RNAcentral lists this ribosomal RNA (464 nucleotides) under uncultured bacterium. Its description in RNAcentral is "partial 16S ribosomal RNA". It matches the Rfam family "Bacterial small subunit ribosomal RNA", at positions 28 to 507 of the family's 1533-position model. The record is from RNAcentral.